Molecule: ribosomal RNA, 211 nt
Filed under: uncultured Smithella sp.
Lineage: Bacteria; Pseudomonadati; Thermodesulfobacteriota; Syntrophia; Syntrophales; Smithellaceae
Description: partial 16S ribosomal RNA
Rfam family: Bacterial small subunit ribosomal RNA
Source: RNAcentral
GGAAGUGGGAUGACGUCAAGUCCUCAUGGCCUUAUGCUUAGGGCUACACACGUGCUACGAAUGGUGGUCAAAGAGAAGCCAACUCGCGAGAGCGCGCCAAUCUCAAAAAGCCAUACCUCAGUUCGGAUUGGAGUCUGCAACUCGACUCCAUGAAGUUGGAAUCGCUAGUAAUCGCGGAUACAGCAUGCCGCGUCGAUACCGUUCCGGCCUU